Phascolarctos cinereus (koala) is the source of this 320-nucleotide non-coding RNA. The record is from RefSeq and is a predicted model, not a curated record. Lineage: Eukaryota; Metazoa; Chordata; Mammalia; Diprotodontia; Phascolarctidae.
GGGCAGCUUUCACACAGGGCCCAAACUGGUUUGCAGCUGGUCACUGUUCAGCACCCCCAGAGAGGCAUACUUGGUUUUGUGUUUUUGUGAAUUUAUUGGACUGGAAAGCACUUGAAUGAUUUGUAAUAAAUACAGAUGGUAGAACCUACUGUGGAGACUAGUAUGUCCAGAUGAGAGCAGCCAGAUGCCCUGGAGAAAAGAUGAGGAAACAGGCUUGCAAAGACAUAACUUGAAAGCGAUAGCUGAGACUCACACAUCCUGGCUCAAAUUAUCUUGCUCUUUGCACUGUACCAAACUGCAAUAAAACAUGGCCUACUUUA